UACGGAGGGGGCUAGCGUUGUUCGGAAUUACUGGGCGUAAAGCGGGGGUAGGCGGAAGUCUAAGUCGGGGGUGAAAGCCCCUGGCUCAACCUCGGAAUUGCCUUCGAUACUGGUGAUCUAGAGGACUGGAGAGGGUAGUGGAAUUCCGAGUGUAGAGGUGAAAUUCGUAGAUAUUCGGAAGAACACCAGUGGCGAAGGCGGCUAACUGGCCCAUUUCUGACGCUGAGGUGCGAAAGCGAGGGGAGCAAACAGG
This 253-nucleotide ribosomal RNA is filed under the name uncultured bacterium. RNAcentral describes it as "partial 16S ribosomal RNA". It matches the Rfam family "Bacterial small subunit ribosomal RNA", at positions 524 to 776 of the family's 1533-position model. The record is from RNAcentral.